GAAAUAAAUUUAUUGUGCCUGCUUCAGCGACUUGUGCUUGUUGCUUGCCUGAAGUUGGGCUUCUCACUCUUCUCAGUGCGGUGCGAGACGUAAAACAGGUUAGGCUCCUCGUAGAUGGAUGGUUAAAAUUGUACUUGUGUAGACGCUUUUCUAUUUAUUUUAAAUGGAUCAUAAAACGGCGCUGAUUCUAAUAAUAUGUAUUGGCUUCCCUCAAUGGACCAUUCAACAAUCAAGGGUUGACAGGAGUAACGGUAAAUACAGUGGCGGUGUCCCAACAAUCAAAGAACCGAGCAACUGGAAAACGAUACUUGUUAUUGUAGUGGGCGUUUUAGUUUUUGGUGCUGUCAUCUACGGAACCAGUUGUUUUUAUGUGUGUAAAAUGCACUUUUUUGAAAGGACAGAAAAGAAAUAUACUAAAAUGGAUUCAUGUUCAAGUGUGUAACUAACUUCCUGUUACUAUUUAUUAGACAUAGAUAUGUAGAUGUUAGGAUAUCCAGUUUUGUCCCCAAAACAGGAAUCGGAGCUGAUGAAGGCGGGAUGAAACUGCAACGGUUAGCCACUGCCAGAAGUUCUCUAGUUAUUUUCAUAUAAUUUGUCAUUAGGUUAUGAUCAGAGACAUAUUAUAGUAAAAUUCAAACUGCAUAGAUGUAGAUAUAGUAGUAUAUUUUCCUAAAGAAAAGGUUAUUUCUAUGAAAUGAAAUAAAAAUCCAUAAAUCCUGUGGAA
Long non-coding RNA from Leptinotarsa decemlineata (Colorado potato beetle), 724 nucleotides. The record is from RefSeq and is a predicted model, not a curated record. Lineage: Eukaryota; Metazoa; Arthropoda; Insecta; Coleoptera; Chrysomelidae.